UUGUAUCUCUGUAUGAAAUAAAAGGU
Molecule: non-coding RNA, 26 nt
Filed under: Cricetulus griseus (Chinese hamster)
Lineage: Eukaryota; Metazoa; Chordata; Mammalia; Rodentia; Cricetidae
Source: RNAcentral